CUACGGGCCGCAGCAGUGAGGAAUCUUCCGCAAUGGGCGAAAGCCUGACGGAGCGACACCGCGUGAAGGAUGAAGGUCUUUUGAUUGUAAACUUCUUUUCUGAGUGAAUAAAUGAUGAAGUUAACUCAGGAAUAAGCACCGGCUAAUUACGUGCCAGCAGCCGCGGUAAUACGUAAGGUGCAAGCGUUAUCCGGAAUCAUUGGGCGUAAAGCGUUCGUAGGUGGCAAAGUAAGUUUGUAGUUAAAUCUGGUCGCUCAACGAUCAACUCGCUACAAAAACUGCUUUACUAGAGAAUGGCAGGGGCAACUGGAAUUCCGCAUGUAGGGGUAAGAUCCGUUGAUAUGCGGAGGAACACCAAAAGCGAAGGCAGGUUGCUGGGCCAUUUCUGACGCUGAGGAACGAAAGCGUGGGGAGCAAACAGGAUUAGAUACCCCCGUAGUC
Molecule: ribosomal RNA, 441 nt
Filed under: uncultured bacterium
Lineage: Bacteria
Description: partial 16S ribosomal RNA
Rfam family: Bacterial small subunit ribosomal RNA
Source: RNAcentral